RNAcentral lists this ribosomal RNA (253 nucleotides) under uncultured bacterium. RNAcentral describes it as "partial 16S ribosomal RNA". It matches the Rfam family "Bacterial small subunit ribosomal RNA", at positions 524 to 776 of the family's 1533-position model. The record is from RNAcentral.
UACGUAGGGUGCAAGCGUUAAUCGGAAUUACUGGGCGUAAAGCGUGCGCAGGCGGUUUUGUAAGUCUGACGUGAAAUCCCCGGGCUCAACCUGGGAAUUGCGUUGGAGACUGCAAGGCUAGAAUCUGGCAGAGGGGGGUAGAAUUCCACGUGUAGCAGUGAAAUGCAUAGAGAUGUGGAGGAACACCGAUGGCGAAGGCAGCCCCCUGGGUCAAGAUUGACGCUCAUGCACGAAAGCGUGGGGAGCAAACAGG